UUAAGUUCAGCGGGUAUUCCUACCUGAUCCGAGGUCAACCUUAGAAAGAGUGUUUCACGGCAGGUGCCCGCCGCCACGUCCAGAGCGAGAUGUAACUACUGCGCUCGGAAUGACAGCGAGUCCGCCACUGCUUUUAGGGGGCUGCAGCAGCUGCAGGCCCCCAACACAAGCCUGGGGCUUGAUGGUUGAAAUGACGCUCG
Molecule: unclassified non-coding RNA, 200 nt
Filed under: Phialophora sp.
Lineage: Eukaryota; Fungi; Ascomycota; Eurotiomycetes; Chaetothyriales; Herpotrichiellaceae
Description: partial internal transcribed spacer 2
Source: RNAcentral